RNAcentral lists this ribosomal RNA (468 nucleotides) under uncultured bacterium. Its description in RNAcentral is "partial 16S ribosomal RNA". It matches the Rfam family "Bacterial small subunit ribosomal RNA", at positions 28 to 507 of the family's 1533-position model. The record is from RNAcentral.
GACGAACGCUGGCGGCGUGCUUAACACAUGCAAGUCGAACGGAAAGGCCCUGCGUGUGUGGGCUGCUCGAGUGGCGAACGGGGGAGUAACACGUGAGUAACCUGCCCUUGACUUUGGGAUAACUUCAGGAAACUGGGGCUAAUACCGGAUAGGAGCUCCUGCUGCAUGGUGGGGGUUGGAAAGUUUCGGCGGUUGGGGAUGGACUCGCGGCUUAUCAGCUUGUUGGUGGGGUAGUGGCUUACCAAGGCUUGGACGGGUAGCCGGCCUGGGAGGGUGACCGGCCACCUUGGGACUGAGGUGCGGCCCAGACUCCUACGGGAGGCAGCAGUGGGGAAUACUGCACCAUGGGCGGAAGCCUGAUGCAGCAACGCCGCGUGCGGGAUGACGGCCUUCGGGUUGUAAACCGCUUUCGCCUGUGACGAAGCGUGAGUGACGGUAAUGGGUAAAGAAGCACCGGCUAACUACGUG